This 254-nucleotide ribosomal RNA is filed under the name uncultured bacterium. RNAcentral describes it as "partial 16S ribosomal RNA". It matches the Rfam family "Bacterial small subunit ribosomal RNA", at positions 524 to 776 of the family's 1533-position model. The record is from RNAcentral.
UACGUAGGGUGCAAGCGUUAAUCGGAAUUACUGGGCGUAAAGCGUGCGCAGGCGGUUGUGCAAGACAGAUGUGAAAUCCCCGGGCUCAACCUGGGAAUUGCAUUUGUGACUGCACGGCUAGAGUGUGUCAGAGGGGGGUAGAAUUCCACGUGUAGCAGUGAAAUGCGUAGAGAUGUGGAGGAAUACCGAUGGCGAAGGCAGCCCCCUGGGAUAACGACUGACGCUCAUGCACGAAAGCGUGGGGAGCAAACCGG